Molecule: long non-coding RNA, 3788 nt
Filed under: Sus scrofa (pig)
Lineage: Eukaryota; Metazoa; Chordata; Mammalia; Artiodactyla; Suidae
Description: lncRNA (ENSSSCG00060068483.1)
Source: RNAcentral
CGAAGCAUUUUUCACCUUGAUGUGUAAGUACUCACAGGAGGUGUCAUAUAAAAAUCAUGCUGUAAAUGAACACUCUGAAGAUUUUAUUUGGAGGGAGAUUAUUAAGGUACUUGACACUGGAGGCAAGAGAGAAAGACAUUCUGGAGAAAAGGAAGAGCCUAGAGUUGAGGAGAGUGAAAGGCACCAAAUAUCCCAUUAGGGUGCUUACUCAGAUCAGCAAUUUAGCAUAAGAGGAUUUGGGGGCCAGAGAGACCUGGGUUCCAGUCCCACUAUUCUCGCUUAUUAUUUGUUUUAAAGUUAUAGUCAGACCUUUACUUAAAAAAACCAGUCUGCCAACUUAGCACUUUCCACCAACUCGAGGAGCAGAAAACUUUACAAGCUUCACAAUCUUUUGCUUAGGGACUGCAUUUGUGGGGGCCCUUGCAGCAGCCAUUGCUGUCUUUUUAGAUACUUGCAUAGCCUUUUUUGCUUCCUUGGCAGCCCUGAUAGCUUGUUUUCAUAGAGCCUUUCUAACCUCAGGUUUCUGAAAUAACGGUAGUGAUAUGAUAAUAAUAACUUGCUUUCCAAAUUAAACUAGAGCUGGCUCUGGGUGUCUUAGGGCCAAAGAUAAUACCCAGCUGCAGGUCUGUUGAGUAGAUGUGCCUAAAUUCACUGUAAGACAGUGAAUGGGUUACUUAACCUCAGAACAAUCUCUUACUUUCCUGUCUAUAAAUGAGAACAAGUGCUCAGAACUGAAUUGGGCCCAUAACCAAAUAAAUGCCUACACAAUCCUGGUAAGAGCAGCCACUGCCAGAGCUACAUGCUUACAUUAUACAAAGAGAAGUUGCCUUUUAAUAAAAGAGAUCAUUCUUCAUUUUAUUUUAUGCUAAACGCUCUCAUUCUUCUCCCGAUUAAAAAUGGCAGCUUCCAAAACACAAACAAGCCUGACAUCUGAGUUCAGGGGCUUUACCUUGACCAACAACUACCUUCCCUCAAAAGACCUUGAUUUCUUAGCCCCAGAGGCACAGAAACCUAACUUAGGGUUAACAAAGGGGAAGUGGGGGUGAGGGGGAUACAUCAGGAGACUCGUAUUAACAUUACACGCUAUUAUGUACCAAAGAGAUAACCAACAGGGACCUGCUGUACAGCACAGGGAACUACAGCCACUGUUUUGGGAUAACCCAUACGGGAAAAGGAUCUGAAAAGUUUUAUAUAUAUACAUAUACAUAUAUAAAACACUGAAUCACUUUGCUAUGCCCUGAAACUAACCCAACCUUGUAAAUAAACUAUACUUCAAUAAAACAAUUAUGUUUAAAAAAUUAGGUAGAGGUGCGGGGAAAAAAGUUGAUUUCUAUCUCAGAAAAUACAGAGAAGUUUCUGCUCUCACUUCUAAGAUGUCCAUGUAAUUGAAGAAACCCCUGUGGACUAGGCAAAGCCCGGGUCUGGCUGUUACAGACGUGAAAUCUUGGGUGAAAGGGGAGGAGCCCAGGGGAAAGGCAGGGUGCAAGGAGGUGCUUCUGACCGCAGCUGCCGCCUUGGAGCCCCAGGCAUGGGAAACAAAGGAACCCAGGAGGAACGGGAAGACGUGAACUGAAGACACACUGAAAAAGCUCCGAAGGUCUUGAGGAAAGCUGAGACUGACCUGAGGCCGAAAAGAGGUUGAACUUGCUAAGAAGGAAGAUGGGGUUGCUUUCACGUCUCCCGACACCUGCCCACACAAUAACUAAGAGAGGUCUGAAGGCUGCUGGACAGAAAGCCGGGGGACCGCGGCUGGCUCUGGCUUUCCCUCACCCCUGGUCUCAGAGCUCCCGGCGGUGAAUGCAAAGUACGGUCUACAAUCCCAAAGGUUCGAUUUCCAUGUCUGCCUGAUCUGGAGGGUACCUCCUCCCUCCUUUUACACCAGGGGACAUAAACUGCUAAUUCCACGUACUUGAGCAGCUAAUAUGUACUUUAGCUACCUAAAUCACGGUAAUUAGUACAGGCAUAUCAUGCAAACACACAAAUACACACGUAACUAUCCGCCCAUCUAUCUGCAUGUGUACUCACAUAAGCAUUUACAUUACACAUCUUUCACAACCUUUAAAAUUCUUCUUCAGCUAAGAUCCAUUGGUAAUUUCUCCAAUUAGCAGCACAGUGUUCGCAGCACAAGAAAUAUAAUGAAACACUAAAAGACAAUAAUCUUCUUCGGUGGAAGGCUUAAAAACAUCAGUCUAAUAGCAUAAAAACUGUAAUUCUGCAUCUUGCCGACAACGAUUUUUUAAAAUGAAAUUCCUAGCUUUUAGUAUCACCAAAAAUCAGUUCCAUUUCCUUUCUUUUUUCAGAAAAAUCAUCUUUCAUUAACUUGAGAUGAUGAUUUCCAUGUGAAUGAUAUUGUUUAUCUGCACUUUCCCCACACUUGACCUCAUUUCUUCUAAGAAAUAUGGAAUAUUGCUCUGGGCCUUUGAAAGGCAGGGCUGGAGGAAGUUUCUAUUAGAAUAAUCUCCACCUAAAGAGGUUUUAAGACUCACCUACCCAUUGACCCAUGAAGGGUAAAUGCUAAGUUCCUACAGUCAAAUAGUCAUUCUAACCCUUCAAAAUAGAUGCAUGAGUUGCCCCUUAUUUAAAUUACUCUAAGACGGAUAAAAUUUUUACCAUCAGAUGAAGGGUGAUCAUCACGACUCUACCAUCACCACACAAUGACAAAGACGACAAAGACGCUUGGCUUCACCCAAUCACUUCCUUUGUCGUGUGUGUGUGUGUGUGAGAGAGAGAGAGAGAAAUAACUAGCCACGUCUUUGCAACUGCAUGUCCAUGUUCAAGAUAUGUUUACCUAUAAACUAGGCAUUCAUGCAUUUUUUCGUAGACCUAGUAGUCUAGCAUCCUGGUGGACCCCAAAUUAGUGUUUCAUACGCUGAUCACUCCCUAUCAGAAGUGUGCUGUGGACCUCGCCAGAAGGGGGACUUCCUGGGAUUCUGCUCCCUGAUAACGGGCACCCGUGUCCAUUCUCUGUACUUGCUCACCUCUAGUCACCUGGGACCAACCACAGGGCACCACGUUGGAAGCAAACGUCUUUUGGUGACUCUCCAUUGUGCGCAUGUGCUUCACAGAAGGUUCUGAUCUACGACGGAUUUCAGCGGCAUGAGGCACCUUCCUAGCUUAUAGAAACUAGAGAUGAAUUAUUUCUGAGGCUCGGUCCUUGAAGAGGCGACGUGCGAUGAAAAGAAACUAAUCUAGGAAGAGAGAUGAACUGACAUCACACCCGGUUUGCCCUCAAUUUCUACCCCAUUUGUGAGUUGACUCGGGAGGGAGCCAACCCAACAGAAGCCCUGAUUUUACCUUGACUCACUUAAGCUCUCAUUUCCUUUAAUCUCGAGAAGACAAAUCUUCUAUCCCAACAACUAUUCUUCUCACCUUGAAUAUUCUCCCCCUUCAAUUCUGACUGAAGAGAAAACACGAGGUUUGUUUUCUCCUUAAAGGGCCGCCUCAAGUAGAAGCCUGGAUUGAUGCAGCCGUGAAUUCCGAGACAGCAACAUCAACCCCGGGGUAAGACUUCUCGAUGGUGGUGGUGGUGGUGAAAAGUCCUAGGAAGUUUCACCUUCUCAGUUCACUUGGGGGCUCUCUUUUCUAUUCCUGCUGCUUAAAAAGUUAAAUUAAAUCAAAACUAAGCAGAGAGCACUUGGUCUCUGCUUUCGUUGUUUUGCAAACAAGGUAAUACAGUUUCACAGAAUGAGAACCAAGAGACACUUUCUUGAAUUUAAACUCAAAACACUGAUAUACUUCAAAAGUUUUCCACAUGUUUCUUCCUAUUUCUUGUGUUUCUUUGUAAUUUA